UUUUGGUUGUAAAGCACUUUAAGCGAGGAGGAGGCUACUUGGAUUAAUACUCUAGGAUAGUGGACGUUACUCGCAGAAUAAGCACCGGCUAACUCUGUGCCAGCAGCCGCGGUAAUACAGAGGGUGCGAGCGUUAAUCGGAUUUACUGGGCGUAAAGCGUGCGUAGGCGGCUUUUUAAGUCGGAUGUGAAAUCCCUGAGCUUAACUUAGGAAUUGCAUUCGAUACUGGGAAGCUAGAGUAUGGGAGAGGAUGGUAGAAUUCCAGGUGUAGCGGUGAAAUGCGUAGAGAUCUGGAGGAAUACCGAUGGCGAAGGCAGCCAUCUGGCCUAAUACUGACGCUGAGGUACGAAAGCAUGGGGAGCAAACAGGAUUAGAUACCCUGGUAGUCCAUGCCGUAAACGAUGUCUACUAGCCGUUGGGGCCUUUGAGGCUUUAGUGGCGCAGCUAACGCGAUAAGUAGACCGCCUGGGGA
This 471-nucleotide ribosomal RNA is filed under the name uncultured Acinetobacter sp. RNAcentral describes it as "bacterial SSU rRNA". It matches the Rfam family "Bacterial small subunit ribosomal RNA", at positions 417 to 879 of the family's 1533-position model. The record is from RNAcentral. Lineage: Bacteria; Pseudomonadati; Pseudomonadota; Gammaproteobacteria; Moraxellales; Moraxellaceae.